GACUAAGGUUCGAUUCGAGCGAAAGCGAGAAAGCUUUGCCGCAGGCAACGACCCGAAGGGCGAAACGCGCAGCGCUGAGU
Molecule: small RNA, 80 nt
Filed under: Salmonella enterica
Lineage: Bacteria; Pseudomonadati; Pseudomonadota; Gammaproteobacteria; Enterobacterales; Enterobacteriaceae
Description: RtT RNA
Rfam family: RtT RNA
About the family: This family represents a bacterial cis-regulatory element known as RtT RNA.
Source: RNAcentral